RNAcentral lists this long non-coding RNA (1726 nucleotides) under Monodelphis domestica (gray short-tailed opossum). Its description in RNAcentral is "lncRNA (ENSMODG00000040479.1)". Lineage: Eukaryota; Metazoa; Chordata; Mammalia; Didelphimorphia; Didelphidae. The record is from RNAcentral.
CUUUUAAGGAGGAGCAGACCACCUGCUCUACAAAGAUGGGGACAUGACUGUCAUUUGUUUGGUGAGCAGAUGUGCCAGCUACCCAGAGGGGACAGUCAUGGUACUUGGUGAGAUUCUGCCAGCCUUGUAUCCAAGAGAGUUUUGGAGUCAGGCUAGAUUGCUCUGCCCCAACACCAUCCUGAGAACUGACUGUUAAAUUUCAGUGUGAGCAUUUCCACUUUGGGAGCUGGCCAGUGCUACAAAUCAGGGACUUGAAUUAAGAAAUGAUGCCUGCUUUGCCAUUCACAAAAUUCUUGAAGGUAGGAACCCUGGGCAAAAGAUACCCUGUUCCUGUCUCAAGGAGGGAAUUCUUUGUGCCAACAAAAUCACAGAGCUGUCCUUUUUCUUGUAAUGAAGCUGAGAUAACAGUCAGGGAGUACAUUGGAAAGGCAGAACAUUGUACUGAAGAUCUGUGGCACUUGGAAAAUGUCUACCUAAGAUUCUCUCAGAGGGAAAAUUAAUUGAAAUACAAAAUGGAAAAGCUAAAGAAAACAAGUGAACUACUGUGGGUCCCUUAGGUUCUUCCAUUUUGGCUGAAGCUGUUUCCGCUGAUGAAUAAGAGCUGCCCGUUUGCUCCAUGCUAUGGCUGCUGCUAACUGCUGUGGAUGUCUUUGCUUAAGGAAUGUCUCAAGAAAAACAAACUGUGCUUGUAAGUUGUGAAUUCCAGAAAACAGAUGAGGCGAAUUCUCUCUCCUCUUCCUUCUCUUCCUUUUCCUUUUCCAAAUAGCAGGGUCAAAUUGGAACCAAAGCUUAUUGUACAAACAGAAGCAAAUGAAAGAAAUAUUGGAUUUGUAUGAGCUUCUUAUGGAAUUACUAGUUCUAAAACCAAAUACAUACGCAGAGUGAAUGCUACUGAAUCAGAUAGAAAAUACAACUUGGAGCAGAAGAGAUAGCAACACACAUUUAGAAUACAAUGGUAAUGAGAGACAUGUGGAGGAUACAGUGGUACCAAAUGGGUAACGUAACUCCUGGAAAUUUACAACUAGGAAGACCUUUCUUGAGUGUAAAACCAGCACUACUUUUUGGUGUAAAAGAAUAUUCUCCUUAAACUUGUCUUGUCCAUUAAGGGACUAGCUUUUCUUUUGUAUACACCUGUCCUCACUGUGCCACUCAACUAAAUGAGCUACACAUGUUCUACAUGUGUGGGAUUGUCUCCUACUAGUCCACUCUCUCUGAUGAGAUGGUUUAUGUGAAGUAGCCAGAAGAGAGAAAGAAAUUCCUUCCCACAAGUGUUUCACUCUUAGGAAUUAUGGAAUCAUAAGCUUUCAAACGAGUUCUCUAAUACAGGACUGCUCCAACUCUGGAAUCCAGGUUACUGUUGACAGUCUUCUAGUUAUUUGUAUUCCCCAGAGGCUUGGUUAAUAAGUUUGGUCAGUCAAUCUGUUAUUCCUUUCUUUACCUAAUCAAAGAAGUUCCCGCCUCAUAAAGACAUCACAGAGUAUAGAACAUCUUAUUUACACUUUUUUAAAUGAUAUUUUACAAAUUUCAUGUAAUAAUUUUUCACAUAAGUUUUCUCAAGUCAUAGGCUUCAAACUGUCUCCCUUUGUCCCGUCCCUCCCCUUUCCUGGAGAUGACAAGCAAUUGGAUGUGGAUUUUACAUGUAAUAUCAUGCAAAAUAUAUUUCUAUAUUAUUCAUUUUUGUAAGGUAAUAAUAAUAAAACUAAAAUCCCCAAAUAUACUCUUUUCA